Molecule: long non-coding RNA, 935 nt
Organism: Ictalurus punctatus (channel catfish)
Lineage: Eukaryota; Metazoa; Chordata; Actinopteri; Siluriformes; Ictaluridae
Exons: 2
Source: RefSeq, a predicted model, not a curated record
AAGGACUCUAAAGAAAAGGAUGCAGAGUUAAAAUAAUGUCAACAAAUGUAGUAAUGAGUGUGAGAGUGAUGUGAUGAUGUGUAUGAAUAAUAAAAGUAAAGAGAGAGUCUCACGGUGAGCGAGGAGUCCCAGUGUCCCCAGCAGUAGAAUCAGUACCAUCAUCAUUGUGCUGCGUGUCAGUGGCUCUGAAAGGACUGAACACACUCUGAUCAGCACUACAGCUCUUAAAGUGUGUGCAGCACUGACACAGCACACAUAUGCAAACACCACAACUGUGUGUGUGUGUGUGUGUGUGUGUGUGUGUGUGUGUGUGUGUGUGUGUGUGUGUGUGUCUGUGUGUGUGUCUGUGUGUGUGUGUGUGUGGUCACUGUAGUGUAACAGGGGUUUUUGUACGACGGUUUCAUUAGAAUGUAUCACUGUGGUGGACUUUCGGUGGAGGAACCAAACUCAUCGUGAAAACCGGUCCCACGGUGAAGCCCUCCGUGUCUCUGCUCCCUCCCUCCUCUCUGCAGCUGUCUGAGGGAUCGGCCUCGCUGCUCUGCCUGCUGUCUGCCUACUCUCCACAGGGGGCGCUGGUGAGCUGGACUGUGGACGGCUCAGAGGUGAAGGACGGGGUUCUGACCAGCGCUGAAGAACAGAAGAAGGACGGGUACACACGCAGCAGCACCCUGACCCUCAGCAAAGCAGUCUGGGAAAAGGGGGAGGAGUUUGUCUGUAAGGUCUCCCAUGACAACGUCGAUCAUCCGGUCACGUUCAGAAAGAGCCAGUGUGAAGUCUAACAGCUCCAAGAUAGAAUUGAACACUGAGCUGCUUACACAUCCAUCUACAAUAGAGUUUCAAUUCUACACAAUGCUGACAUUUCUGUCUUUACUCUCUUCACUGUCCUGUUGCUCUUCCUGUAGUUUUGCUCUGCUGAAAUAAAGCUUCAUUUUGGA